This 352-nucleotide ribosomal RNA is filed under the name uncultured bacterium. RNAcentral describes it as "bacterial SSU rRNA". It matches the Rfam family "Bacterial small subunit ribosomal RNA", at positions 22 to 356 of the family's 1533-position model. The record is from RNAcentral.
GCUCAGGAUGAACGCUGGCGGCGUGCUUAACACAUGCAAGUCGAACGAAGCACUUUAAUUGAUUUCUUCGGAUUGAAAUUUUAGUGACUGAGUGGCGGACGGGUGAGUAACGCGUGGGUAACCUGCCUCACACAGGGGGAUAACAGUUGGAAACGGCUGCUAAUACCGCAUAAGCGCACAGUACCGCAUGGUACGGUGUGAAAAACUCCGGUGGUGUGAGAUGGACCCGCGUCUGAUUAGCUAGUUGGCAGGGCAACGGCCUACCAAGGCGACGAUCAGUAGCCGACCUGAGAGGGUGACCGGCCACAUUGGGACUGAGACACGGCCCAAACUCCUACGGGAGGCAGCAGUA